GGUUAAGCGAAUAAGCGUACACGGUGGAUGCCUAGGCAAUCAGAGGCGAUGAAGGACGUGCUAAUCUGCGAAAAGCGUCGGUAAGGUGAUAUGAACCGUUAUACCCGACGAUAUCCGAAUGGGGAAACCCAGUAUCCAAUGGAUACUAUCAUUAACUGAAUCCAUAGGUUAAUGAGGCGAACCGGGAGAACUGAAACAUCUCAGUACCCCGAGGAAAAGAAAUCAACCGAGAUUCCCCUAGUAGCGGCGAGCGAACGGGGAGCAGCCCAGAGUCUUAAUCAAUAACAGUGUCAGGAGAACGGUCUGGAAAGUCCGGCAGUAAAGGGUGAUAGCCCCGUAUCUGAAGAUGCUGUUAUUGUGAACUCGACGAGUAGGGCGGGACACGUGUUAUCCUGUCUGAAUAUGGGGGGACCAUCCUCCAAGGCUAAAUACUCCUGAUUGACCGAUAGUGAACCAGUACCGUGAGGGAAAGGCGAAAAGAACCCCGGCGAGGGGAGUGAAAAAGAACCUGAAACCGUGUACGUACAAGCAGUAGGAGCCUCUUUAUGGGGUGACUGCGUACCUUUUGUAUAAUGGGUCAGCGACUUAUAUUCUGUAGCAAGGUUAACCGUAUAGGGGAGCCGUAGGGAAACCGAGUCUUAACUGGGCGAAUGAGUUGCAGGGUAUAGACCCGAAACCCGGUGAUCUAUCCAUGGGCAGGUUGAAGGUUGGGUAACACUAACUGGAGGACCGAACCGACUAAUGUUGAAAAAUUAGCGGAUGACUUGUGGAUGGGGGUGAAAGGCCAAUCAAACCGGGAGAUAGCUGGUUCUCCCCGAAAGCUAUUUAGGUAGCGCCUCGUGAACUCAUCUUCGGGGGUAGAGCACUGUUUCGACUAGGGGGUCAUCCCGACUUACCAACUCGAUGCAAACUGCGAAUACCGAAGAAUGUUAUCACGGGAGACACACGGCGGGUGCUAACGUCCGUCGUGAAGAGGGAAACAACCCAGACCGCCAGCUAAGGUCCCAAAGUCAUGGUUAAGUGGGAAACGAAGUGGGAAGGCUCAGACAGCCAGGAUGUUGGCUUAGAAGCAGCCAUCAUUUAAAGAAAGCGUAAUAGCUCACUGGUCGAGUCGGCCCGCGCGGAAGAUGUAACGGGGCUAAACCAUGCACCGAAGCUGCGGCAGCGACACAUAGUGUUGUUGGGUAGGGGAGCGUUCUGUAAGCCUGCGAAGGUGUACUGUGAGGUAUGCUGGAGGUAUCAGAAGUGCGAAUGCUGACAUAAGUAACGAUAAUGCGGGUGAAAAACCCGCACGCCGGAAGACCAAGGGUUCCUGUCCAACGUUAAUCGGGGCAGGGUGAGUCGACCCCUAAGGCGAGGCUGAAAAGCGUAGUCGAUGGGAAACGGGUUAAUAUUCCCGUACUGGUGGUAACUGCGAUGGGGGAACGGAGAAGGCUAGGUUGUCCGGGCGACGGUCGUCCCGGUUCAAGCAGGUAGGCAGAGUGAUUAGGCAAAUCCGGUCACUUAAUGCUGAGAUGUGAUGACGAACCACCAAGGUGGUGAAGCAAUUGAUGCCCCGCUUCCAGGAAAAGCCUCUAAGCUUCAGGUUACCAACAAUCGUACCCCAAACCGACACAGGUGGUCAGGUAGAGAAUACUCAGGCGCUUGAGAGAACUCGGGUGAAGGAACUAGGCAAAAUGGUGCCGUAACUUCGGGAGAAGGCACGCUGGCGGUAGGUAAAGUCCCUUGCGGACGGCGCUGAAGCCAGUCGAAGAUACCAGCUGGCUGCAACUGUUUAUUAAAAACACAGCACUGUGCAAACACGAAAGUGGACGUAUACGGUGUGACGCCUGCCCGGUGCUGGAAGGUUAAUUGAUGGGGUCAGCCGCAAGGCGAAGCUCCUGAUCGAAGCCCCAGUAAACGGCGGCCGUAACUAUAACGGUCCUAAGGUAGCGAAAUUCCUUGUCGGGUAAGUUCCGACCUGCACGAAUGGCGUAAUGAUGGCCAGGCUGUCUCCACCCGAGACUCAGUGAAAUUGAACUCGCUGUGAAGAUGCAGUGUACCCGCGGCAAGACGGAAAGACCCCGUGAACCUUUACUAUAGCUUGACACUGAACAUUGAGCCUUGAUGUGUAGGAUAGGUGGGAGGCUUUGAAGUGUGGACGCCAGUCUGCAUGGAGCCAACCUUGAAAUACCACCCUUUAACGUUUGAUGUUCUAACCUAGGCCCAUAAACUGGGUCGGGGACCGUGUCUGGUGGGUAGUUUGACUGGGGCGGUCUCCUCCUAAAGAGUAACGGAGGAGCACGAAGGUUGGCUAAGCAUGGUCGGACAUCAUGCGGUUAGUGCAAAGGCAUAAGCCAGCUUGACUGCGAGAGUGACGGCUCGAGCAGGUACGAAAGUAGGUCUUAGUGAUCCGGUGGUUCUGAAUGGAAGGGCCAUCGCUCAACGGAUAAAAGGUACUCCGGGGAUAACAGGCUGAUACCGCCCAAGAGUUCAUAUCGACGGCGGUGUUUGGCACCUCGAUGUCGGCUCAUCACAUCCUGGGGCUGAAGUAGGUCCCAAGGGUAUGGCUGUUCGCCAUUUAAAGUGGUACGCGAGCUGGGUUUAGAACGUCGUGAGACAGUUCGGUCCCUAUCUGCCGUGGGCGUUGGAAGAUUGAGAGGGGUUGCUCCUAGUACGAGAGGACCGGAGUGAACGCACCACUGGUGUUCGGGUUGUCAUGCCAAUGGCAUUGCCCGGUAGCUAAGUGCGGAAGAGAUAACCGCUGAAAGCAUCUAAGCGGGAAACUUGCCUCGAGAUGAGUCUUCCCUGUCGCUUUAAGCGACCUAAAGGAACGUUUAAGACUAAGACGUUGAUAGGCUGGGUGUGUAAGCGUAGCGAUACGUUGAGCUAACCAGUACUAAUGAACCGUGAGGCUUAACCUG
RNAcentral lists this ribosomal RNA (2903 nucleotides) under Proteus mirabilis. Its description in RNAcentral is "23S ribosomal RNA". It matches the Rfam family "Bacterial large subunit ribosomal RNA". Lineage: Bacteria; Pseudomonadati; Pseudomonadota; Gammaproteobacteria; Enterobacterales; Morganellaceae. The record is from RNAcentral.